AUUGAACGCUGGCGGAAUGUCUUUACACAUGCAAGUCGAACGGUAGAGGGGGCAACCCUUGAGAGUGGCGAACGGGUGAGUAAUAUAUCGGAACGUGCCCAGUCGUGGGGAUAACGUAGCGAAAGUUACGCUAAUACCGCAUACGAUCUAUGGAUGAAAGCGGGGGACCGUAAGGCCUCGCGCGAUUGGAGCGGCCGAUAUCAGAUUAGGUAGUUGGUGGGGUAAAGGCUCACCAAGCCAACGAUCUGUAGCUGGUCUGAGAGGACGACCAGCCACACUGGAACUGAGACACGGUCCAGACUCCUACGGGAGGCAGCAGUGGGGAAUUUUGGACAAUGGACGCAAGUCUGAUCCAGCCAUUCCGCGUGCAGGAUGAAGGCCCUCGGGUUGUAAACUGCUUUUGUACGGAACGAAAAGGUUUCUCUUAAUACGAGGAGCUCAUGACGGUACCGUAAGAAUAAGCACCGGCUAACUACGUG
Molecule: ribosomal RNA, 479 nt
Filed under: uncultured bacterium
Lineage: Bacteria
Description: bacterial SSU rRNA
Rfam family: Bacterial small subunit ribosomal RNA
Source: RNAcentral